GGGUUUGAUUGAGGUUAUAUAUGAGCUUAAUACAGAGACAGGUACAGUGAGACAGGUACACAGUGAGACAGGUACACAGUGAGACAGGUGCACAGUGAGACAGGUACACAGUGAGACAGGUGCACAGUGAGACAGGUACACAGUGAGACAGGUACAGUGAGACAGGUACACAGUGAGACAGGUACAGUGAGACAGGUGCACAGUGAGACAGGUGCGCAGUGAGACAGGUACAGUGAGACAGGUACACAGUGAGACAGGUACACAGUGAGACAGGUGCACAGUGAGACAGGU
This is a long non-coding RNA of Dicentrarchus labrax (European seabass), 291 nucleotides long. RefSeq lists it as uncharacterized. The record is from RefSeq and is a predicted model, not a curated record. The transcript is spliced from 3 exons. Lineage: Eukaryota; Metazoa; Chordata; Actinopteri; Moronidae.